RNAcentral lists this ribosomal RNA (496 nucleotides) under uncultured bacterium. Its description in RNAcentral is "partial 16S ribosomal RNA". It matches the Rfam family "Bacterial small subunit ribosomal RNA", at positions 29 to 507 of the family's 1533-position model. The record is from RNAcentral.
AUGCACGCUGGCGGCGUGCCUCAUACCUGCAAGUCGAGCGCACAGAUAAGGAGCUUGCUCCUUUGACGUUAGCGGCGGACGGGUGAGUAACACGUGGGUAACCUACCUAUAAGACUGGGAUAACUUCGGGAAACCGGAGCUAAUACCGGAUAACAUUUGGAACCGCAUGGUUCUAAAGUGAAAGAUGGUUUUGCUAUCACUUAUAGAUGGACCCGCGCCGUAUUAGCUAGUUGGUAAGGUAACGGCUUACCAAGGCGACGAUACGUAGCCGACCUGAGAGGGUGAUCGGCCACACUGGAACUGAGACACGGUCCAGACUCCUACGGGAGGCAGCAGUAGGGAAUCUUCCGCAAUGGGCGAAAGCCUGACGGAGCAACGCCGCGUGAGUGAUGAAGGGUUUCGGCUCGUAAAACUCUGUUAUUAGGGAAGAACAAACGUGUAAGUAACUGUGCACGUCUUGACGGUACCUAAUCAGAAAGCCACGGCUAACUACGUG